UGCCUGAUGAAGAUCUCUGUUGGAUUGAAUUGUGCUCUGUUAAACUAAAUUCAGUGCAGUGUGUGGAUCUUUUUUCUGACUUCUUCUACAGUGGAGCAAUUUCACUAACAUGUUAAAAUCAACCUUUACUCAACCCGUGACUGGAUCAUCAGGUGUACAAUUUGGGCUGAUAAACAAAACCUUUCUACAAGAGAGUAGUGGCCGUUCAAUGUGGACACCGUUAUACUGUGCGAUCACGACGAUCUGCCUCUGCCAUGGUUCAGAAGCAGAAAGGCAGAGAAGCAGAAGCACGAUAUCUCAGUUUGUGCCACAAUGAUCACACGAACCCCGGAAGAUGAGACUGCGGGAGCAGACUUCCAGUGUUUUUGCUCUGUUACACUUCAGCGGUUGUGGAUGCCCAUUCCUGAACCUGCCGCCGGAAUGUGGUGCUGAAACGAAACAGUUUUUGUCUUACUAGGUGAGGGUGAAAUGUGUGUGUGUGUGUGUGUGUCUUCGCGGCAGUGUUGCUACUGAGCUCCCGUGUUAAAAACUGCAGGUUUUUUCUCACGUUACCGAGCCCACGCCCGGUCCAAGGCGAAACGCGCGCGGUGCUGCCAGAGUUUGCGCGCUUUUGCCAACGUAAACCUACUUUUAGACUUAAAUCAGCUCAAACUGCUGAUAACUGUCAUUUAAGGUUAAGGAGGACAGAAACUGAAGCAAGCGUCGUGGGCUCCGCUCUGAAAGCAACCGGCCGGUCGGCGGUUGCGCGCUCGGGGUUCUGGGGUUUUGGUGUUUAAUUAGCAUAAACGAUCUGCUGGAGAGAAGCGGGACCGUGCGUCACA
Molecule: long non-coding RNA, 821 nt
Organism: Xiphias gladius (swordfish)
Lineage: Eukaryota; Metazoa; Chordata; Actinopteri; Istiophoriformes; Xiphiidae
Exons: 3
Source: RefSeq, a predicted model, not a curated record